AGACGAAGGUGGCAAGCGUUGUUCGGUAUCACUGGGCUUAAAGCGUGUGUAGGCGGAAUCGUAAGCGUUUUGUGAAAUCCCUCGGCUUAACCGAGGAAUUGCUUGACGAACUGCGGUUCUUGAGGCAGGUAGGGGUGCGAGGAACUCUUGGUGGAGCGGUGGAAUGCGUAGAUAUCAAGAGGAACGCCGGUGGAGAAGUCGUCGCACUGGGCCUGUCCUGACGCUGAGACACGAAAGCGUGGGGAGCGAACGGGAUUAGAUACCCCGGUAGUCCACGCCGUAAACGAUGUCUACUAGGUUGUGGCGGUUCUGACGCCGGCACAGCCGAAGCUAAAGUGUUAAGUAGACCGCCUGGGGAGUACGGUCGCAAGGCUAAA
This 377-nucleotide ribosomal RNA is filed under the name uncultured bacterium. RNAcentral describes it as "bacterial SSU rRNA". It matches the Rfam family "Bacterial small subunit ribosomal RNA", at positions 523 to 898 of the family's 1533-position model. The record is from RNAcentral.